UGGAAGAUAUGGAUACACGAGAUGCGUGUAGUUAAGCUUCUCGUCACAAAGUCGUCCUAAAAAAAGUUGCCUUCUGAUGACUGUGACUUGUGAAGUUUUAAUUUACAGACAGAUACGGGGCAUACAAAA
Non-coding RNA from Osmia bicornis bicornis, 129 nucleotides. RefSeq annotates it as small Cajal body-specific RNA 8. Lineage: Eukaryota; Metazoa; Arthropoda; Insecta; Hymenoptera; Megachilidae. The record is from RefSeq and is a predicted model, not a curated record. The transcript has a single exon.